AUGGAUUUGGAAAAAAGUUCAUCGAUCUUGAAGAAAAAGUUCAUGAUUUUUUUAAGAAUCCGCACAUUUAAGAAGGAAAUGUAUAGUCCUGGGUCAAUGGGCUUUCCAUCUACGUGCCUUUUUUUCCUUUUGAGAAAGGAGUCUUACAUGCGCAGCUUCGCAGCGUGCCAGCUAAUUGAUGGGCGUGACCACCUGUGCUAUCGGAUAAUUGUGGACCAGGGGAGGGGCCCUCCAUGUUGGGGACCCGGGGCGGCCAGCCCUGCGCAUAUAUUAUUUGUUACUCGUUUAUUGUUAAUUUACUUCUCGUUCUUUGUUAUAAGUUACUCUCGUUAG
Molecule: ribosomal RNA, 333 nt
Filed under: Triticum aestivum (bread wheat)
Lineage: Eukaryota; Viridiplantae; Streptophyta; Magnoliopsida; Poales; Poaceae
Description: partial small subunit ribosomal RNA
Source: RNAcentral